Molecule: ribosomal RNA, 253 nt
Filed under: uncultured bacterium
Lineage: Bacteria
Description: partial 16S ribosomal RNA
Rfam family: Bacterial small subunit ribosomal RNA
Source: RNAcentral
UACAGAGAGUGCAAACGUUGUUCGGAAUUACUGGGCUUGAAGCGCUCGUAGGCGGCAUCGUAAGUGUCGGGUGAAAUCCCACGGCUCACCCGUGGAACUGCCCGGCAUACUGCGAUGCUCGAGUGUGGUAGGGGAGAGCGGAACUCCUGGUGGAGCGGUGAAAUGCGUAGAUAUCAGGAGGAACACCAGUGGCGAAGGCGGCUCACUGGCCCGAUCCUGACGCUGAGGCACGAAAGCGUGGGGAGCAAACAGG